UGGGGAAUAUUGCACAAUGGGCGCAAGCCUGAUGCAGCCAUGCCGCGUGUGUGAAGAAGGCCUUCGGGUUGUAAAGCACUUUCAGCGGGGAGGAAGGCGUUAAGGUUACUAACCUUGGCGAUUGACGUUACCCGCAGAAGAAGCACCGGCUAACUCCGUGCCAGCAGCCGCGGUAAUACGGAGGGUGCAAGCGUUAAUCGGAAUUACUGGGCGUAAAGCGCACGCAGGCGGUCUGUCAAGUCGGAUGUGAAAUCCCCGGGCUCAACCUGGGAAGUGCAGUCGAAACUGGCAGGCUAGAGUCUUGUAGAGGGGGGUAGAAUUCCAGGUGUAGCGGUGAAAUGCGUAGAGAUCUGGAGGAAUACCGGUGGCGAAGGCGGCCCCCUGGACAAAGACUGACGCUCAGGUGCGAAAGCGUGGGGAGCAAACAGG
RNAcentral lists this ribosomal RNA (429 nucleotides) under Chloroflexota bacterium. Its description in RNAcentral is "Chloroflexi bacterium partial 16S ribosomal RNA". It matches the Rfam family "Bacterial small subunit ribosomal RNA", at positions 355 to 776 of the family's 1533-position model. Lineage: Bacteria; Bacillati; Chloroflexota. The record is from RNAcentral.